This 465-nucleotide ribosomal RNA is filed under the name Vreelandella stevensii. Its description in RNAcentral is "partial 16S ribosomal RNA". It matches the Rfam family "Bacterial small subunit ribosomal RNA", at positions 338 to 795 of the family's 1533-position model. Lineage: Bacteria; Pseudomonadati; Pseudomonadota; Gammaproteobacteria; Oceanospirillales; Halomonadaceae. The record is from RNAcentral.
CCUACGUGAGGCAGCAGUGGGGAAUAUUGGACAAUGGGCGAAAGCCUGAUCCAGCCAUGCCGCGUGUGUGAAGAAGGCCUUCGGGUUGUAAAGCACUUUCAGUGGGGAAGAAAGCCUUGGGGCUAAUACCCUCGAGGAAGGACAUCACCCACAGAAGAAGCACCGGCUAACUCCGUGCCAGCAGCCGCGGUAAUACGGAGGGUGCGAGCGUUAAUCGGAAUUACUGGGCGUAAAGCGCGCGUAGGCGGUCUGAUAAGCCGGCUGUGAAAGCCCCGGGCUCAACCUGGGAACGGCAUCCGGAACUGUCAGGCUAGAGUGCAGGAGAGGAAGGUAGAAUUCCCGGUGUAGCGGUGAAAUGCGUAGAGAUCGGGAGGAAUACCAGUGGCGAAGGCGGCCUUCUGGACUGACACUGACGCUGAGGUGCGAAAGCGUGGGUAGCAAACAGGAUUAGAUACCCCAGUAGUC